UGCGGGCGCCCUGGCUGGGAAGUCUGUCACCCCACUGAUCGCCAGGUUAGGUUGGGCUGAUCUGGCUGGCCAGGCAGGUGAGUCCGUCCUCGCCCACCCCA
Molecule: small nuclear RNA, 101 nt
Filed under: Heterocephalus glaber (naked mole-rat)
Lineage: Eukaryota; Metazoa; Chordata; Mammalia; Rodentia; Bathyergidae
Description: 7SK RNA
Rfam family: 7SK RNA
About the family: 7SK was discovered as an abundant small nuclear RNA in the mid-70s but a possible function has only recently been suggested.
Source: Rfam by way of RNAcentral